GCGCGGGGGGCAGCUCGCGAGCGCACAGCUCUCCUCCCGUCUCCGCCCUUUCGGGGAAACCAAAAAAACACUGGACAUUUGCACACAAACAUACACCCCCCCCAAUAUCGGCCCCUCUCUGCUCCCUCCUCGUCCUGGCUCCGCGCUCAGUGUUGUUUGUAACUCUCCGUGCUCCCGCCUCUCUCCCUCUGCAGCGUCGUGUCUCUACAGCCCCGGCGCGAAGGAUAUAAACUGCCGUCUACGCGUCUUGUCCAGGUCUGACCCAGGGACGAUGCCAAGCACCGGGACUGCGGGUCCGAAAGUCCAUCGCCUCCAUUGCAUCUUGGAUCCCGAGGCCCUAGGGGUGGUGACGGUGCUCCUGGGAAUCUUCCAGCUGCUCCUGGCCAUUCCCGUUUACUACACUGACCUCCAGCCCCCAAGAGUUCUCAUCACCCCCGUCCUCAUCGGCGUGCUGUUUAUUAUAGCAGGGUCUUUUUCCAUUGCUUGUGAGAAAUCACCCAGUAGGCAGCUGGUAAGUUAUCUUUAGUAGUCAUUAACUUUACAACCAUAUCUGUAUCGGCUUUUCAUUUUAAUAACUCUUCUCUUAAUCCCUCACUCUGUUUCCAGUGAGUGUGUCUGGACUGUAUUAACCCCUCUCUCUCAGUGCAGUGUUAAUGUCC
Lepisosteus oculatus (spotted gar) is the source of this 659-nucleotide non-coding RNA. The record is from RefSeq and is a predicted model, not a curated record. NCBI's taxonomy places the organism in Eukaryota, Metazoa, Chordata, Actinopteri, Semionotiformes, Lepisosteidae.